RNAcentral lists this RNase P RNA (301 nucleotides) under Candidatus Bathyarchaeota archaeon. RNAcentral's name for it is "RNase P RNA component". It matches the Rfam family "Archaeal RNase P". From Rfam's summary of the family: Ribonuclease P (RNase P) is a ubiquitous endoribonuclease, found in archaea, bacteria and eukarya as well as chloroplasts and mitochondria. Lineage: Archaea; Thermoproteati; Candidatus Bathyarchaeota. The record is from RNAcentral.
GUAAGCCAGUGAGCGGGUUUCCGGACGCUUAAGCGUCUGGAGGAAACUCCUCCGCGCAGGUGGAAUCACACCACGGCGACGUGGGGGGCGGGAGCCCCGGCUCCGGCGCAGAAAAGUCACUCUCACCCGGUGCAUGUGGAUGAUAGGCGGUUCAACCGCUGACAAUACCGGGAUGUAGAGGUGAAACUGCCGUCCUGUGGGCGUUAAGGCGAAGGAAGCCUAUGAGCUUCCACCUGAGGCUUCAGUAGGCCGCAUUAGUCGAAUCCCGCUUAAAACAAAAGGAGGGUUACGGCUGGCAUAC